ACAAAGGGAGGAAAGUCCGGGCUCCUUAGGGCAGGGUGCCAGGUAACGCCUGGGAGGUGAAAGCCUACGGAAAGUGCCACAGAAAAUAUACCGCCUAUAAUUUUCAGUUACUGAAAAUAAGGUAAGGGUGAAAUGGUGCGGUAAGAGCGCACCGCGCGAUUGGCAACAGUCGUGGCAGGGAAAACCCCACCUGGAGCAAGACCAAAUAGGAAUCCUACUUACCUUUGUGGUAAGACGUAUGGCCCAUACGGGAUUCGGGUAGGUUGCUUGAGACAUGCGGUGACGCAUGCCCUAGAUGAAUGAUUGUCCACG
RNAcentral lists this RNase P RNA (312 nucleotides) under Legionella drozanskii. RNAcentral describes it as "partial ribonuclease P RNA". It matches the Rfam family "Bacterial RNase P class A", at positions 36 to 323 of the family's 367-position model. Rfam says of the family: Ribonuclease P (RNase P) is a ubiquitous endoribonuclease, found in archaea, bacteria and eukarya as well as chloroplasts and mitochondria. Its best characterised activity is the generation of mature 5'-ends of tRNAs by cleaving the 5'-leader elements of precursor-tRNAs. Cellular RNase Ps are ribonucleoproteins. Lineage: Bacteria; Pseudomonadati; Pseudomonadota; Gammaproteobacteria; Legionellales; Legionellaceae. The record is from RNAcentral.